CACAGUUUUAGCUUUAUUAUUUCUUAUAUUAUGCUAUUUAUUCUUUAUUUUUGCUCAACUUCUUAGUUUCUGGCAUUCUGUUCUUUCACUUUAUCUCAUUGGUUUAAUUUCAUAAUUCAAAUUAUUUCCUGGUUAUUUUAACGUUCAUUUUAAGAAAUUGUUAUUGCUUUUAAUUUAAAAAAUGGUCUUUAUAUGGUAUAUGAAAAACAAUUCAAUAUGGAUAGCCCCAAGGACAAAGAGUCUGUACCAUGGAAAGGUGGCCUUGCAGUUUUCUAUCAAACUUCCCAGGAGCAGAAAUUUGCAACCUCCUCUUUGCCGCAACACACCAAAAGGAGCAGAAUCAUUGACUCUUAGUAGUUCUCAGCUGUGAUGCAACAAAGCAUUUCAAAACCUCUAGCUGAAUGCUAAGACAAAGGCUUCUCAUUGUGUGAAAGCUGAAGGAUCUCUCCCUGCAUUCCCUUCAUGGGCAUCUCUAGGCUACUUGGCCUCAUGGAUGCUUCAGGCUCUCCAGUGGCUUCAGAGAUCCCUAGUUUCCAGCAUUCCCCCUCCUGCUGCAUGUCUCAGUCUAACUGGUCAUUGAUAGUGGCAGGAGACAGACAAAUUCCUAGGCCGACAGGGUUGGGUUCCUGGUGAAACCCAGCCUUCAAAUCAAAGACAAUUUAAAGCCUGAAAACCGACCUGCUGAUUCCAGAUAGAGUCUACAACCAGAGACACGGCUUUACCUCCUUCUCCAGAGGAUGCAACAAUAAGGCACCAUCUUGGAAGCAGAAAGCAGCCCUCACCAGACACCAAAUCUGCCAGCACCUUGAUCUUGGAUUUCCCAGACUCCAGAACUAUGUGGUCUUUCAUUUCCUCGGCAGAAUACUCCUGGCAUGAUCUUUAAGGAAUGAAAUGUUGUCUACCAACCUCGGCUGAGUGUACACAGUUCUGGGAAAAGGUGCAUCUUAGACUAAUCUGAUUUAGUAAGUGAAUAUAAAAUGCUCCCCAGGACACCUUGCUAGUAAAGACUCCAACUAAGAUUAGAGUAUGAAUUAAUAGAGCCAAGAAUGGACAUUGGAGUGGGAAUUUACCAACUAGCAAUUUACUUUAAUGAUUAUUUCCUGAUAACUUCUGAAAUAUUUUUAAUGUUUAGAGAAUUUGUUUAGCAACUGAAAGGAAAACUUUCUACUAAAAAAUAUGCCAUGCACAUUUAAAAACAUUCCAAUUGCUCCACUGUCUUUCAUAUCUAUCUCUGUUUGCUAAUAUCUAUAAUGCAAAUUUUAGAAAACACAUCUUGACUCAUCAAUUUAUGAAUUAUUUUACUCCCUAUCAUGAUAUUAGCAGUACAUUUUUUUUCCUUUCCCUUCUAGGCUUGUUUUUCUUCAGGAAAGGAAAUCAGAUACAACAUAGACGUUGUGUUUCACGAUGUCUUUUUCAAAAUAUUUUGACAACCUGGGUAAUAAACCCUGCAGGAAGGGCUAGAGUAGAGUAAUGAUGAUGAAAGUGUCACAGUUUUGAAAAUAUAAACAUAUAGAUUUAAUGGGUACUUUUGUGAAUCCCUUUGUCAUCGGCAGGUCAGGUACCUGAUGCAGAAAGGGAGGUCAGAUUUAAGGACAGGGUCUCUUUCCCACACAGGCAGGAGUGCCCGGCUAAUGUGGGUUCAAGAACAGAGUAAGGCUCCUGAUUUCCCAGCACAUCUUUGUCUAUCACUGUAGUCUACAUGCUAAGCUUAAGGUGUCUAGCCUAAGAUUUUAUAUGCUACUGGAAAACCACUUAGUUUAAAUCUAGAUUAAACUUAAAUUUCCUAAAUUUAUACAUAUAUCUAGGUACAACAAAAUAUCAAUUCAAUUUGAAAAGAGACACUUCUCAAAAGAAGACAUUUAUGCAGCCAAAAGACACAUGA
Molecule: long non-coding RNA, 1882 nt
Filed under: Homo sapiens (human)
Lineage: Eukaryota; Metazoa; Chordata; Mammalia; Primates; Hominidae
Description: HSALNT0306130
Source: RNAcentral